GGGAGUUCUUGGCUCAGUAACAGUUCAGAGCAGCACUGGUCUGUCUGUGAGCAAGCUUAAUGAUUUGAAGUACCAUAUUUUUUCUGAUGCUGGAAAGUGGCAGAGAGCCACCAUUCCCAGACAGCCACACAACAAUUCAGACCUAGAUCUCCUGCCAGGACCUUGACUAUCCAACCAUCACCAUCAUCACCACCACCGUUACCACCACCACCACCAUCAUCAGUGCCAUCCUCAGGUGGUCUGCUGUACCCUUGGCCACUAUGCUUUCUGAUCUCCAUCAACAGCUUUCCCAAAGACACAAG
Molecule: long non-coding RNA, 302 nt
Organism: Heterocephalus glaber (naked mole-rat)
Lineage: Eukaryota; Metazoa; Chordata; Mammalia; Rodentia; Bathyergidae
Source: Ensembl